Molecule: transfer RNA, 72 nt
Filed under: Candidatus Yanofskybacteria bacterium RIFCSPHIGHO2_02_FULL_50_12
Lineage: Bacteria; Candidatus Yanofskyibacteriota
Also listed under: 2 other names
Description: tRNA-Arg
Rfam family: tRNA
About the family: Transfer RNA (tRNA) molecules are approximately 80 nucleotides in length. Their secondary structure includes four short double-helical elements and three loops (D, anti-codon, and T loops).
Source: RNAcentral
GCGCCCGUAGCUCAACGGAUAGAGUAGCAGACUUCGAAUCUGCUGGUGGGGGUUCGAUUCCCUCCGGGCGCA